UGCGAAGAAGGAUGUGUUUUCUUCCCCUCUGCCAUGAUUGCAAAUUUCCUGAGGCCUCCGAAGCCAUGCUAAACUGAAUUAGAUUAUCUCCAGAAGCAAAGGAAAUGUAAAGAAAUGGACAGGUUACUUUCAGGAUUAAUUCCAGACACAGUGCAGAACCCAGCACAUUUCAAGGCCAUAUGAUGUGGUUUUUGUUGAUUUGUAAACCAGCUUCUGGUUUUGAAAAGGAAAUUG
This is a long non-coding RNA of Pan troglodytes (chimpanzee), 234 nucleotides long. RefSeq lists it as uncharacterized. NCBI's taxonomy places the organism in Eukaryota, Metazoa, Chordata, Mammalia, Primates, Hominidae. The record is from RefSeq and is a predicted model, not a curated record. The transcript has 3 exons.